AUACGUAGGGGGCGAGCGUUGUCCGGAAUGAUUGGGCGUAAAGGGCGCGUAGGCGGCUUUGCAAGUCAGUAGUGGAAGUCCAUUUUUCAAGGAUGGAAGUGCUACAGAAACUGUAUGACUUGAGUGCAGGAGAGGUAAGCGGAAUUCCUAGUGUAGCGGUGAAAUGCGUAGAUAUUAGGAGGAACACCGGUGGCGAAGGCGGCUUACUGGACUGUAACUGACGCUGAGUCACGAAAGCGUGGGUAGCAAACAGGAUUAGAUACCCUGGUAGUCCACGCCGUAAACGAUGAGUACUAGGUGUGGGGGGACUGACCCCCUCCGUGCCGCAGUUAACACAAUAAGUAUUCCACCUGGGGAGUGCGAUCGCAAGAUUGAAACUCAAAGGAAUUGGCGGGG
This 396-nucleotide ribosomal RNA is filed under the name uncultured bacterium. RNAcentral describes it as "partial 16S ribosomal RNA". It matches the Rfam family "Bacterial small subunit ribosomal RNA", at positions 523 to 918 of the family's 1533-position model. The record is from RNAcentral.